Molecule: non-coding RNA, 73 nt
Organism: Paramuricea clavata
Lineage: Eukaryota; Metazoa; Cnidaria; Anthozoa; Malacalcyonacea; Plexauridae
Source: the annotation of a GenBank genome assembly
CUCUCUGUAGAUCAGUUGGUUAGAGCGAUGCACCGGAAUUGCUGGGCUGCAGGUGCGAUUCUUGCCAUAGGGC